UACAGAGGUCCCAAGCGUUGUUCGGAUUUAUUGGGCGUAAAGGGUGCGUAGGCGGCGGAGUAAGUUGGGUGUGAAAUCCCGGGGCUUAACCUCGGAAUUGCAUUCAAUACUGCUUCGCUCGAGUACUGGAGAGGAGGCUGGAAUUUACGGUGUAGCAGUGAAAUGCGUAGAUAUCGUAAGGAAGGCCGGUGGCGAAAGCGAGCCUCUGGACAGUUACUGACGCUGAUGCACGAAGGCCAGGGGAGCAAACGGG
This 253-nucleotide ribosomal RNA is filed under the name uncultured bacterium. Its description in RNAcentral is "partial 16S ribosomal RNA". It matches the Rfam family "Bacterial small subunit ribosomal RNA", at positions 524 to 776 of the family's 1533-position model. The record is from RNAcentral.